AAAAUCCGUUGGUUUUACAAAAAAACCGUGAGGGUUCGAAUCCCUCUAUCCCCA
Molecule: transfer RNA, 54 nt
Filed under: Asplenium cuneatiforme
Lineage: Eukaryota; Viridiplantae; Streptophyta; Polypodiopsida; Polypodiales; Aspleniaceae
Description: partial tRNA-Leu
Source: RNAcentral